RNAcentral lists this small RNA (185 nucleotides) under Chelonoidis abingdonii (Abingdon island giant tortoise). Its description in RNAcentral is "TUC338 (ENSCABG00000000192.1)". Lineage: Eukaryota; Metazoa; Chordata; Testudines; Testudinidae. The record is from RNAcentral.
UCAACAGACCUGGAGGCUGAAUUCCUUUAUUGAGCCACAGGACAGGACGAAGCAGGGCAGUGGCAGUGCCAUCUCUGUGUGCUGCCUCCUGCCAGAGUGGCCUCCCCUCUGAUCCCAAGGAGCCAUGUCGGGGGCGGGGGGGGAUGGCAGUUUAGUCCCCAGGGUGUAUUCAGUCCUGCGCCUCU